Molecule: transfer RNA, 94 nt
Filed under: Hypoxylon crocopeplum
Lineage: Eukaryota; Fungi; Ascomycota; Sordariomycetes; Xylariales; Hypoxylaceae
Description: tRNA-Thr
Rfam family: tRNA
About the family: Transfer RNA (tRNA) molecules are approximately 80 nucleotides in length. Their secondary structure includes four short double-helical elements and three loops (D, anti-codon, and T loops).
Source: RNAcentral
GCCCGCUUGGCACAGCGGUAAUGCGCCUCACUAGUAUAUACCUACUAAUGAGAAAGCUAUGAGGAGAUGACUGGUUCGACUCCAGUAGUGGGCA